CCUACGGGUGGCUGCAGUGGGGAAUUUUGGACAAUGGGGGCAACCCUGAUCCAGCCAUUCCGCGUGAGUGAAGAAGGCCUUCGGGUUGUAAAGCUCUUUUGUCCGGAGCGAAACGGGCGGCCCUAAUACGGUCGUCUACUGACGGUACCGGAAGAAUAAGCACCGGCUAACUACGUGCCAGCAGCCGCGGUAAUACGUAGGGUGCGAGCGGUAAUCGGGAUUACUGAGGCGGAUUUGUACGCCAGCGGUGAAAUCCCCGGGCUCAACCUGGGAAUGGCAUUUGGGACUGCAAGGCUGGAGUGUGGCAGAGGGGACUAGAAUUCCUGGUGUAGCAGUGAAAUGCGUAGAUAUCAGGAGGAAUACCGAUGGCGAAGGCAGGUCCCUGGGUUAACACUGACGCUCAUGCACGAAAGCGUGGGGAGCAAACAGGAUUAGAUACCCCGGUAGUC
This 449-nucleotide ribosomal RNA is filed under the name uncultured bacterium. Its description in RNAcentral is "partial 16S ribosomal RNA". It matches the Rfam family "Bacterial small subunit ribosomal RNA", at positions 338 to 795 of the family's 1533-position model. The record is from RNAcentral.